This 205-nucleotide ribosomal RNA is filed under the name Ranitomeya ventrimaculata (Amazonian poison frog). RNAcentral's name for it is "partial 12S ribosomal RNA". The record is from RNAcentral. Lineage: Eukaryota; Metazoa; Chordata; Amphibia; Anura; Dendrobatidae.
GGAAAGACGAGCCAAGCUUAAAACCCAAAGGACUUGACGGUACCCCAUAUCCCCCUAGAGGACCUGUCCUAUAAUUGAUAAUCCCCGUUUAACCUCACCACUUCUAGCAAUUCAGCCUGUAUACCUCCGUCGUCAGCUUACCACGUGAGCGUUAGUGAGCUCAAUGUUAUUUCAACCAACGUCAGGUCAAGGUGCAACAUAUGAA